RNAcentral lists this ribosomal RNA (253 nucleotides) under uncultured bacterium. Its description in RNAcentral is "partial 16S ribosomal RNA". It matches the Rfam family "Bacterial small subunit ribosomal RNA", at positions 524 to 776 of the family's 1533-position model. The record is from RNAcentral.
UACGUAGGUGGCAAGCGUUGUUCGGAAUUAUUGGGCGUAAAGGGUCCGUAGGCGGUCCGGCAAGUCAGAUGUGAAAUCCCACAGCUCAACUGUGGAACUGCAUUUGAAACUCCCGGACUAGAGUGUGAGAGGGGUUAAGGGAAUUCCCGGUGUAAGGGUGAAAUCUGCAGAGAUCGGGAGGAACACCAGUCGCGAAGGCGCUUAACUGGCUCACUACUGACGCUCAGGGACGAAAGCUAGGGUAGCAAACGGG